This is a long non-coding RNA of Lathyrus oleraceus (garden pea), 202 nucleotides long. RefSeq lists it as uncharacterized. The record is from RefSeq and is a predicted model, not a curated record. The transcript has 3 exons. Lineage: Eukaryota; Viridiplantae; Streptophyta; Magnoliopsida; Fabales; Fabaceae.
CUUCUCAAGGGAUACCUGAUUUUCCUGGUUUACGUUCUACUGUCUGGAAGCUUCUGCUAGGUUAUCUACCACCUGAUCAUGCCCUUUGGUCCUCUGAAUUGGCAAAGAAGAGGUCACAAUACAAACGUUUCAAACAAGACAUUCUUAUCAAUCCUUCAGAAAUCACGAGGAGGAUGUGGGACUCUGCUGAUUAUGAUGCUGA